UCCGGCUUAUCACCGGCAGUCCCCCUAGAGUGCCCAACUAAAUGAUGGCAACUAAGGGCGAGGGUUGCGCUCGUUGCGGGACUUAACCCAACAUCUCACGACACGAGCUGACGACAGCCAUGCAGCACCUCGACUAGUGUCCCUUGCGGGAAAAGCGACUUUCGCCGCCUGUCACUAGCCGUUCGAGCCCAGGUAAGGUUCUUCGCGUUGCGUCGAAUUAAACCACAUACUCCACCGCUUGUGCGGGUCCCCGUCAAUUCCUUUGAGUUUUAAUCUUGCGAUCGUAAUACCCAGGCGAAUCACUUAACGCGUUAGCUUCGACAUCAAUCCAGCAAAGCCGAACUGACGUCUAGUGAUUAUAGUUUACGGCGUGGACUAC
Molecule: unclassified non-coding RNA, 379 nt
Filed under: uncultured bacterium
Lineage: Bacteria
Description: contains 16S-23S intergenic spacer region
Source: RNAcentral